UGGAUUAGGCAUGCAAGUCGAACGGUAAGGCCCCGCAAGGGGUACACUAGUGGCGAAAGGGUGAGGAACGCGUGAGUAACUUGCCCCCAAGUUGGGAAUAGCUCUGGGAAACUGGAAUUAAUACCGAAUACAGUUGAAUUUUCGCAUGGAGAUACAACUAAAGAUUUAUCGCUUGGGGAUGGGCUCGCGUCCCAUUAGCUUGUUGGCAGGGUAACGGCCUACCAAGGCACUGAUGGGUAGCUGGUCUGAGAGGAUGGUCAGCCACACUGGAACUGAGACACUGUCCAGACUCCUACGGGAGGCUGCAGUCGAGAAUCUUCCGCAAUGCGCGAAAGCGUGACGGAGCGAUGCCGCGUGCAGGAUGAAGGCCUUCGGGUUGUAAACUGCUGUCACCGGGGACGAAAUAAUGACUGUACCCGGAGAGGAAGCCACGGCUAACUACGUGCCAGCAGCCGCGGUAAUACGUAGGUGGCGAGCGUUGUUCGGAUUUAUUGGGCGUAAAGGGUCCGCAGGGGGCCAACUAAGUCUGAUGUGAAAUCUCACGGCUUAACCGUGAAAUUGCAUUGGAAACUGGAUGGCUAGAGCCCCGGAGAGGAGAGCGGAAUUCCUGGUGUAGCGGUGGAAUGCGUAGAUAUCAGGAAGAACACCGAAAGCGAAGGCAGCUCUCUGGACGGGUGCUGACCCUCAGGGACGAAAGCAUGGGGAGCAAACAGGAUUAGAUACCCUGGUAGUCCAUGCCUUAAACGUUGUGAACUUGAUGUAGGGGGAUUUAGCCCCCUCUGUGUCGGAGCUAACGCGUUAAGUUCACCGCCUGGGGACUACGGCCGCAAGGCUAAAACUCAAAGGAAUUGACGGGGGCUCACACAAGCGGUGG
This 874-nucleotide ribosomal RNA is filed under the name uncultured bacterium. RNAcentral describes it as "bacterial SSU rRNA". It matches the Rfam family "Bacterial small subunit ribosomal RNA", at positions 45 to 935 of the family's 1533-position model. The record is from RNAcentral.